Molecule: long non-coding RNA, 1035 nt
Organism: Uranotaenia lowii
Lineage: Eukaryota; Metazoa; Arthropoda; Insecta; Diptera; Culicidae
Exons: 3
Source: RefSeq, a predicted model, not a curated record
UAGCUAAAAGCUUAUUGUGGAUAGCAUGGUGUGGUAAAAUCUAGAACAAUAUCAUAAGCUCCUGUAGAUAUCUUUAUGAGAAAUUGUAGCUUUGUAUCUAACAUUUGACCACCAUCCACUAUAAUGCUGCUAAAUGUUAUCGAUUCAAUAAUCAAAAUUUUAAUUUAUUUUUUGUCUAAAAGAUUUUUUCAAAAAUCUAUGCUGAGAUUAUUUUCUCUAAUCAUCUGGCAUCUCUGACCCGCAUUUCGGUCAUUUUUUACAUGAGUUUGACAGACGUCAUGAACGCUUUGCGUUAUGGUUCGAGAACAGUUUUACGACUAUUAAUAAAAUUAAAGUAAAUCGUUAAACCAUUCAUUCACGUUUCCAGAUACCAUCACUUAUUCACAAUUACGUUAAUUUUAAGUUCUUAUCGUUGUCGAAGUAAAGUUUAAAAUAAUAGCUACGUUUACAGAGACAAUCACCUUUUCUGAAGCCGUAGAUGUAUCGUAGUGACUAUUUGAAAUAUAGUUUUUUAGUAUGCGGGUAUGCACCAAAAUCAAAGUUCGUACCUCGAACUGACCACCCCAAAAAAAAUUCCCUGUUUUCUGAAAGGUUGUUUUUGUUCCCCAACGAGUCAGUCGUCUACGAUAUAUCGGUUGGUUGAUGGUUGAUCACACAGAGAUAAGCCACAAUUCGAAAGCGAGCACUGCCAUAAGCGAUUCAUAGAAACGAAAAAAUACAAACGGCAGCUCAAAGAGGAAUGUUAAGCUAACAGCUCCAGAACGGAAAUCAGCUGUAACGAAUGUCUUCGUCCGUUCCGCAGAAAAAGGGAUCCGAUGGAUCAAUUUGCCAGAGCACAUCUGAUAAUCCCACGGUACUAGUGUGAGUUUUGCCGGGAACAAAUAAUCCUCUAUAAGGAUUAUGUUUGCCAUCGGAAGCUGGCAAAACCCGUUGAAUGCACUAUAUUCAUGCAAAACAAACAAAGCACAGCACGCUACCUGCCAACUGCCUGUUUGGCCUGUUGCGAUGGCACCAAAAUUGUCGAAACCGGAAGAA